RNAcentral lists this ribosomal RNA (253 nucleotides) under uncultured bacterium. RNAcentral describes it as "partial 16S ribosomal RNA". It matches the Rfam family "Bacterial small subunit ribosomal RNA", at positions 524 to 776 of the family's 1533-position model. The record is from RNAcentral.
UACGUAGGGGGCAAGCGUUGUCCGGAUUUAUUGGGCGUAAAGAGCGUGUAGGCGGCCAUACAGGUCAGCUGUGAAAACUCGAGGCUCAACCUCGAGACGUCGGUUGAAACCGUAUGGCUAGAGUCCGGAAGAGGAGAGUGGAAUUCCCGGUGUAGCGGUGAAAUGCGCAGAUAUCGGGAAGAACACCCGUGGCGAAGGCGAUCACCUGGGGUUGUUCUGACGCUGAGGAGCGAAAGCUAGGGGAGCAAACGGG